AUGAAAGAAGAAGAAGAAGAAGAAAAAAGG
RNAcentral lists this small RNA (30 nucleotides) under Arabidopsis thaliana (thale cress). Its description in RNAcentral is "ATSL246430". The record is from RNAcentral. Lineage: Eukaryota; Viridiplantae; Streptophyta; Magnoliopsida; Brassicales; Brassicaceae.